RNAcentral lists this ribosomal RNA (490 nucleotides) under uncultured bacterium. RNAcentral's name for it is "bacterial SSU rRNA". It matches the Rfam family "Bacterial small subunit ribosomal RNA", at positions 28 to 517 of the family's 1533-position model. The record is from RNAcentral.
GAUGAACGCUGGCGGCGUGCUUAACACAUGCAAGUCGAACGAAGCACUUUAUUACAAUUUCUUCGGAAUGACGAUUUAGUGACUGAGUGGCGGACGGGUGAGUAACGCGUGGGUAACCUGCCUUAUACAGGGGGAUAACAGUUAGAAAUGACUGCUAAUACCGCAUAAGCGCACAGGGUUGCAUGAUCUGGUGUGAAAAACUCCGGUGGUAUAAGAUGGACCCGCGUCUGAUUAGCUGGUUGGUGAGGUAACGGCCCACCAAGGCGACGAUCAGUAGCCGGCUUGAGAGAGUGAACGGCCACAUUGGGACUGAGACACGGCCCAAACUCCUACGGGAGGCAGCAGUGGGGAAUAUUGCACAAUGGGGGAAACCCUGAUGCAGCGACGCCGCGUGAGUGAAGAAGUAUUUCGGUAUGUAAAGCUCUAUCAGCAGGGAAGAUAAUGACGGUACCUGACUAAGAAGCCCCGGCUAACUACGUGCCAGCAGCCG